GUAUUGCAUUGCGUUAAACGCGGUGUGCAUUCCAUAAGACUUCACUACAGUGUGUGUGUAAAAACAUAGAACUACAGGAGGGAGGCGGCACGUCCCCCCAGACCAUAGAACUACGGAGGGUGCACAGGUGUAAGUGGAUGUGUGAACAGAGCGUGCACAUGCCCCCAUUUGAGGACCAGCAACAGCUCAUGUCGACAACUCAGUAAUGAUCCUUCCGCAGGUUCACCUACGGAAA
RNAcentral lists this unclassified non-coding RNA (235 nucleotides) under uncultured fungus. Its description in RNAcentral is "sequence contains ITS1". The record is from RNAcentral. Lineage: Eukaryota; Fungi.